AUUGAACGCUGGCGGCAGGCCUAACACAUGCAAGUCGAGCGGAUGAAGGGAGCUUGCUCCUGGAUUCAGCGGCGGACGGGUGAGUAAUGCCUAGGAAUCUGCCUGGUAGUGGGGGAUAACGUCCGGAAACGGGCGCUAAUACCGCAUACGUCCUGAGGGAGAAAGUGGGGGAUCUUCGGACCUCACGCUAUCAGAUGAGCCUAGGUCGGAUUAGCUAGUUGGUGGGGUAAAGGCCUACCAAGGCGACGAUCCGUAACUGGUCUGAGAGGAUGAUCAGUCACACUGGAACUGAGACACGGUCCAGACUCCUACGGGAGGCAGCAGUGGGGAAUAUUGGACAAUGGGCGAAAGCCUGAUCCAGCCAUGCCGCGUGUGUGAAGAAGGUCUUCGGAUUGUAAAGCACUUUAAGUUGGGAGGAAGGGCAGUAAGUUAAUACCUUGCUGUUUUGACGUUACCAAAAGAGUAAGCACCGGCUAACUUCGUG
Molecule: ribosomal RNA, 484 nt
Filed under: uncultured bacterium
Lineage: Bacteria
Description: partial 16S ribosomal RNA
Rfam family: Bacterial small subunit ribosomal RNA
Source: RNAcentral